UAGGGAAUCUUCGGCAAUGGACGAAAGUCUGACCGAGCAACGCCGCGUGAGUGAAGAAGGUUUUCGGAUCUUAAAACUCUGUUGUUAGAGAAGAACAAGGACGUUAGUAACUGAACGUCCUCUGACGGUAACUAACCAGAAAGCCACGGCUAACUACUUGCCAGCAGCCGCGGUAAUACGUAGGUGGCAAGCGUUGUCCGGAUUUAUUGGGCGUAAAGUGAGCGCAGGCGGUUUCUUAAGUCUGAUGUGAAAGCCCCCGGCUCAACCGGGGAGGAUCAUUGGAAACUGGGUGACUUGAGUCCAGAAGAGGAGGGUGGAAUUACAUGUUGAGCCGUGAAAUGCGUAGAUAUCUGGUAGAACACCAGUGGCGUAGGCGGCUCUCUGGUCUGUCACUGACGCUGAGGCUCGAAAGCGUGGGGAGCUAACAUG
This 429-nucleotide ribosomal RNA is filed under the name Chloroflexota bacterium. RNAcentral describes it as "Chloroflexi bacterium partial 16S ribosomal RNA". It matches the Rfam family "Bacterial small subunit ribosomal RNA", at positions 355 to 776 of the family's 1533-position model. The record is from RNAcentral. Lineage: Bacteria; Bacillati; Chloroflexota.